UUCCUACGGGAGGCAGCAGUGAGGAAUAUUGGUCAAUGGGAGAGAUCCUGAACCAGCCAAGCCGCGUGAGGGAAGACGGCCCCAUGGGUUGUAAACCUCUUUUGUCGGAGAACAAAACCCGGGACGUGUCCCGGACUGCGUGUAUCCGAAGAAAAAGCAUCGGCUAACUCCGUGCCAGCAGCCGCGGUAAUACGGAGGAUGCGAGCGUUAUCCGGAUUUAUUGGGUUUCAAGGGUGCGUAGGCGGUCCGUUAAGUCACCGGUAAAAUUGCGGGGAUCAACCCCGUCCAGCCGUUGGAACUGGCAG
RNAcentral lists this ribosomal RNA (305 nucleotides) under uncultured bacterium. RNAcentral describes it as "bacterial SSU rRNA". It matches the Rfam family "Bacterial small subunit ribosomal RNA", at positions 336 to 639 of the family's 1533-position model. The record is from RNAcentral.